This 253-nucleotide ribosomal RNA is filed under the name uncultured bacterium. Its description in RNAcentral is "partial 16S ribosomal RNA". It matches the Rfam family "Bacterial small subunit ribosomal RNA", at positions 524 to 776 of the family's 1533-position model. The record is from RNAcentral.
UACGAAGGGGGCUAGCGUUGCUCGGAAUGACUGGGCGUAAAGGGCGCGUAGGCGGAUGGCACAGUCAGAUGUGAAAUUCCCGGGCUUAACCUGGGGGCUGCAUUUGAUACGUGUGAUCUAGAGUGAGGAAGAGGGUCGUGGAAUUCCCAGUGUAGAGGUGAAAUUCGUAGAUAUUGGGAAGAACACCGGUGGCGAAGGCGGCGACCUGGUCCUUGACUGACGCUGAUGCGCGAAAGCUAGGGGAGCAAACAGG